GUGGGUCGUUGGAUGGAAGUUGUA
RNAcentral lists this non-coding RNA (24 nucleotides) under Arabidopsis thaliana (thale cress). Lineage: Eukaryota; Viridiplantae; Streptophyta; Magnoliopsida; Brassicales; Brassicaceae. The record is from RNAcentral.